This 715-nucleotide long non-coding RNA is filed under the name Cricetulus griseus (Chinese hamster). RNAcentral describes it as "lncRNA (ENSCGRG00000025164.1)". Lineage: Eukaryota; Metazoa; Chordata; Mammalia; Rodentia; Cricetidae. The record is from RNAcentral.
GAAUGCUGUGCCUGCCAGUGCAGCUGAACGCCUAUAGAGGGCACCAGAUCCUAUUAUAGAUGGCUGUGAGCCUCCAUGUGGGUGCUGGGAACUGAACUCAGGACCUCUGGAGGAUCAGCCAGUGAUCUUAACCAUUGAGCCAUCUCUCCAGCUCCCAUAAUUUGUACUUCUAAAUUGAAUACAGAGAUUUAUUAUAAAUCAAGGAGAACAUAACGGUAAAGAUGUAGACGUUGCCACGAAGGAGUUGUAGCAGGUAACCACAAGAAAAGCAAAUGUAAGUCAGAUGACUGGCUGCAAGGUUUGCUUUGCACAGAGAGACUCCCCCCCCCAUACCUAGCCUUGCUUUGAGGUAUUGAUAGCCCACUAAUUACCAUCUUUCUGUGCAGAUUGAAGUCGGACUGGUUGUUGGAAAUAGUCAAGUUGCAUUUGAAAAAGCAGAAAAUUCAUCGCUCAAUCUUAUUGGCAAAGCUAAAACCAAGGAAAAUCGCCAGUCAAUCAUCAAUCCUGACUGGAACUUUGAGAAAAUGGGAAUCGGCGGUCUGGAUAAGGAGUUUUCAGAUAUUUUCCGACGAGCAUUUGCUUCUCGGGUGUUCCCUCCGGAGAUUGUGGAGCAGAUGGGUGAGUUUCUGACCCAAGGCUGGUGCUCCUGAGGAAGCACACAGCUGACAGACGCUUGCCAAAGUAGUUCUGAAAUGAUUUUUCAAAUCCACCUGAG